RNAcentral lists this non-coding RNA (22 nucleotides) under Arabidopsis thaliana (thale cress). Lineage: Eukaryota; Viridiplantae; Streptophyta; Magnoliopsida; Brassicales; Brassicaceae. The record is from RNAcentral.
ACCUUUGUUGUUAUCACCGGUC